GAGGGUACAGCUCAAGUGGCAGAGCGCGUGCUUAGCGGGCACGAGGUCCUGGGUUCAAUCCCCAGUGCCUCCU
Molecule: transfer RNA, 73 nt
Organism: Camelus ferus (Wild Bactrian camel)
Lineage: Eukaryota; Metazoa; Chordata; Mammalia; Artiodactyla; Camelidae
Rfam family: tRNA
About the family: Transfer RNA (tRNA) molecules are approximately 80 nucleotides in length. Their secondary structure includes four short double-helical elements and three loops (D, anti-codon, and T loops).
Source: Rfam